RNA transcript from Pan troglodytes (chimpanzee), 2236 nucleotides. It is a transcript of the gene named CDK5 regulatory subunit associated protein 1, with no coding region annotated. NCBI's taxonomy places the organism in Eukaryota, Metazoa, Chordata, Mammalia, Primates, Hominidae. The record is from RefSeq and is a predicted model, not a curated record. The transcript has 15 exons.
GUAUGAGCGCAGCGGCGGACCUGUGAGGGGAUCCGACUUGCCGGCAGAACUUAGGCUGCGGGACCCCGGGCACUGUUGCUGCUGCGGGAGACUGUGGGCUGUUUAGUGCCAUGCAUCCUUUACAGUGUGUCCUCCAAGUGCAGAGGUCUCUGGGUUGGGGACCAUUGGCCUCUGUGUCUUGGCUGACGCUGAGGAUGUGCAGGGCACACAGCAGUCUCUCUAGUACCAUGUGUCCCAGUCCAGAGAGGCAGGAGGAUGGAGCUCGGAAGGAUUUCAGCUCCAGGCUGGCUGCUGGACCGACUUUUCAACAUUUUUUAAAAAGUGCCUCAGCUCCUCAGGAGAAGCUGUCUUCAGAAGUGGAAGACCCACCUCCCUAUCUCACGAUGGAUGAACUUCUUGGAAGGCAGAGAAAAGUCUACCUCGAGACCUAUGGCUGCCAGAUGAAUGUGAAUGACACAGAGAUAGCCUGGUCCAUCUUACAGAAGAGUGGCUACCUGCGAACCAGUAACCUCCAGGAGGCAGAUGUGAUUCUCCUUGUCACAUGCUCUGUCAGGGAGAAGGCUGAGCAGACCAUCUGGAACCGUUUACAUCAGCUUAAAGCCUUGAAGACAAGGUGGCCCCGCUCCCGGGUUCCUCUGAGGAUUGGAAUUCUAGGCUGCAUGGCUGAGAGGUUGAAGGAGGAGAUUCUCAACAGAGAGAAAAUGGUAGAUAUUUUGGCUGGUCCUGACGCCUACCGGGACCUUCCCCGGCUGCUGGCUGUUGCUGAGUCGGGUCAGCAAGCUGCCAACGUGCUGCUCUCUCUGGACGAGACCUAUGCUGAUGUCAUGCCAGUCCAGACAAGCGCCAGUGCCACGUCUGCCUUUGUGUCGAUCAUGCGAGGCUGUGACAACAUGUGUAGCUACUGCAUUGUUCCUUUCACCCGGGGCAGGGAGAGGAGUCGGCCUAUUGCCUCCAUUCUAGAGGAAGUGAAGAAGCUUUCUGAGCAGGGGCUGAAAGAAGUGACACUUCUUGGUCAGAAUGUUAAUAGUUUUCGGGACAAUUCAGAGGUCCAGUUCAACAAUGCAGUACCUACCAAUCUCAGUCGUGGCUUUACCACCAACUAUAAAACCAAGCAAGGAGGACUUCGUUUUGCUCAUCUUCUGGAUCAGGUCUCCAGAGUAGAUCCUGAAAUGAGGAUCCGCUUUACCUCUCCCCACCCCAAGGAUUUUCCCGAUGAGGUUCUGCAGCUGAUUCAUGAGAGAGAUAACAUCUGUAAACAGAUCCACCUGCCAGCCCAGAGUGGAAGCAGCCGUGUGUUGGAGGCCAUGCGGAGGGGAUAUUCAAGAGAAGCUUAUGUGGAGUUAGUUCACCAUAUUAGAGAAUCUAUUCCAGGUGUGAGCCUUAGCAGCGAUUUCAUUGCUGGCUUUUGUGGUGAGACGGAGGAAGAUCACGUCCAGACAGUCUCUUUGCUCCGGGAAGUUCAGUACAACAUGGGCUUCCUCUUUGCCUACAGCAUGAGACAGAAGACACGGGCAUAUCAUAGGCUGAAGGAUGAUGUCCCGGAAGAGGUAAAAUUAAGGCGUUUGGAGGAACUCAUCACUAUCUUCCGAGAAGAAGCAACAAAAGCCAAUCAGACCUCUGUGGGCUGUACCCAGUUGGUGCUAGUGGAAGGGGAAUACCAGAGAGAUGAUGUUGCAUUCUAAUCGUAUACUGUGAGGUGGCAUACAAUUUUGAUUUGUCUCAUUGCUGAUGAUGUUAACUUUGAAAACAUGGAAGAUACUGUCUGCCAGCCUUCUUGACUGUAAAGUUACUCUUUUUCCUUUUGUAACUACUCAGUAAACGCUCUGCCACUGACCUGUGUGGCAGGAAUGAUGGAAACCUUAAGGUGAUCUUCCCUGAUGCAGAGAUGGAGGAUGUCAAUAACCCUGGGCUCAGGGUCAGAGCCCAGCCUGGGGACUAUGUGCUGGUGAAGAUCACCUCGGCCAGUUCUCAGACACUUAGGGGCCAUGUUCUCUGCAGGACCACUCUGAGGGACUCUUCUGCAUAUUGCUGACCUGAGAGGAUGGCCUCAGAGCUGACUUGGGCAGUCCUCCCCAACAGGAAGGGGAGACAUUGCCGGCCACUGAGGAAAGAGGUCAUGAAGGUGGAGAUAAGCUGCAAGGCGCGAAGCAACUUUGUGUCAGUGGAAAACGUGUCUCUUUAAAGCUGCUAUGUGAACAGCUUUUACAGUCAUUAAAUUUACCUAAACUAAGGUUAA